Long non-coding RNA from Anguilla rostrata (American eel), 661 nucleotides. RefSeq lists it as uncharacterized. The transcript has 2 exons. The record is from RefSeq and is a predicted model, not a curated record. Lineage: Eukaryota; Metazoa; Chordata; Actinopteri; Anguilliformes; Anguillidae.
UUUCAUUUUAAUGCUAAAAUAUUUAAAUGUUACAUACACUAUAUGACCAAAGGUAUCAGGACACACCCCUUAGUUUGAGGCUGGUUUUUCUGGUUUGGGCUAGGGCCCUUAGUUCCAGUGAAGGAAAAUCUUAAUGCUACAGCAAACAAUCACAUUCUAGAUGUUUCCGUGCUUCCCCAACAGUUUGGGGGGGAGGCCCUUUCCUGUUUCAGCAUGACAGUGCCCCCGUGCACACAGCAAGGUCCAUAAAGAAAUGGUUUUGUCGAGAAUGGUGUGGAAGAACUUAACUGGACUGCACAGAGCCCUGACCUCAACCCCAUCCCAUUGGGAUCACAUGGAAAGCCAUCGACAAGCCAGGCCUACGGCACAAAGGAAUGCUGUCUAAAGAAAACAAGAAAGACGGAAGGAGUAGAAGAAGGAGCAAGAGGAGGAGGAGGAGGAAGAGGAGGAGGAGGAAGAGGAUGGUCGGUAGGGCUACACUUACGAAGUGGACCACCUUGCAGGAGCAGAGGCGAUCGCUGAGGCCCAUCCAGCGCUGGUAGUCGGGGUACUCGCCGCGGGUCAGCACGUACUGGUAGCCCGCGUAGUUGGGCCGCUCGUACGCCACCCAGGCGCCGCUCUCCACGCGGACGGAGUUGCAGCGGUUCAGGUAGGAGUGGAA